Oncorhynchus mykiss (rainbow trout) is the source of this 5863-nucleotide non-coding RNA. Lineage: Eukaryota; Metazoa; Chordata; Actinopteri; Salmoniformes; Salmonidae. The record is from RefSeq and is a predicted model, not a curated record.
ACCUGCUUAGUGGCUCUAUUUUGGAAGAAGGCAAAAACGAAUGUCUGCUGAAUGAAGUGACUGGAUUAUCUAAGAGCUAGUUUCCCAGACAGAUUAAACCUAGUACUCAGAUUUAAAGACUUCCUCCAAUGAUUGUACUUGUCCUAUUGCAGUGGUAUCCCAAGUAUAAAUAUGAUGUACACUAAAGGGUGUAAAAAAAAGGGUGUAAAAAAAAAAGUUUUGUAUUUGGUGUUUUUUAUACAACUGCGAACUUUAAGGAGUUGGCCAUUCAAGAGUUGGUUUGAUUGGAAGUCUUGAUGUCAUCGGCCUCCCCAUUGCUUGAGGAGCACUAGAGAACAGAAGAGGGAAGGCCCACCCCCACUGGUGCUGUCAUGACUUGCAUGGAUCACCUGUUGAGGUGUUUAAUGAUGUGAUGAAGAGACAGACAGCUGCUGUUGUUGAAGAUUCACCAUUGAGGAUGCUCUUAGUCCAGGACUAGGCUUACUCAUUGACUGGGAAACUGGCCCUAAACAAAUUUGACAAGUUAUUUGUAGUGGAGUCAAAUCAGUUACUACACAGGCUCUCUUCCAAUACUCCAAUGAUGUAACCACAUCUAAAUUGUUUGGGGUGGUGACUACUAAGGUGGUAACAUUACUUACACAUAUCCAAUCACUUAUAGCCCUGUGCUUACUUCAUGGAUUUAAAUACAAAUAUGCUCCUGAAAGUGACAAGGUGAAGAACCUGCCAUUAUUACAGUUGCAGUACUAUUACUUUACCCACACUACCAUUUCAUGGAUUUGGGGCAGGAAUUGUGUAUAUAGACUUAGUGAACAAUCUGAUGGUUAGGGUAAAAUAAAAAGUGACUACAUGCUAAUUAUGACUAAUUGAAAGGUGUAGAUGGUAAGUUUAUUUUGGCAUGGUUAGCUGAACCCUGCACUUGUUGUGAACAGCGGUCUGAUCAAUUCGCUAUGAACUCAAAUAGGCCUAAGGACAGUACCAUUGACAUGCACGUCUAGGGCUAAAGUUCUCCAUGUCAGACUAGUGCAUAGUCAGAAUCGGCCUUGGGGUGGCAGGGUAGCCUAGUGGUUAGAGCGGCGGACUAGUAACUGGAAGGUUACAAGUUCAAAUCCCCGAGCUGACAAGGUCGCUCUGCCCCUGUUCCUAGGCCGUCAUUGAAAAUAAGAAUUUGUUCUUAACUGACUCGCCUAGUUAAAGGUAAAAUGAGACUCAUCCACUUCAUACAGAAUGUUCUACUUCAGAUAUUCACCUUGUUUGUCACAGCAUGCUCGAAUGUUAUUUAGUGUUUUGCUUUAUUUGUGGAAUGACAAUAGUAUGUCUACUACAUACAUAAAGGUUUGCGUCUCAAAUGACACACUAUUCCUAUAUACUGCACUACUUUCGAACAGUGAUGUAUGGGUCUUAAUCAAAUUAGCAGCCUAUAAGGAAUAGGGUGCCAUUUUGUUAUUUAAAAUAUAUUUAUUCAAAUUAGCAGCCUAUAAGGAAUAGGGUGCCAUUUUGUUAUUUAAAAUAUUGUUAUUAUUUAAAAUAUUGUAAGGUUUCGGGAUAGUAAAUUAGAACCCAUUAUCCAGCAUGCUUUUUCAGUUCCCUGUCUGUUAACACUGGGUCAUUGUCCAGCAGCUGUUUGCAGACUGGAAAAAGACCAGGCCAAAUCCUCAAACUGCGCCAUAUGACUACGGUAAUGCUAUCAGUUGUGCGUUAUUUCCAUGGCACUUUGGUAAACUUUGACAGAUUCUGCAUGUGAGUUUAUUUACACUAGAUGGGGGUGUUGCAAAGUCAAUGGGAGCUACCCAGAUAUCAAUGUUGCUUUUGUGAACAUUUCAUAAUUAUUCUAUAUUUGGCCUAUACCUAUACUUUUUUUCAUAAACUUGAGUAUCCAUUUACCACGUGCCAAGUCUUACUUUUUCCAAUUGCAUUUUUUUCAUUACUAUUCAUGUUCCUACUUUCAGGUUCUGCGCUUUCUCGCUUUGUCUCAAGCGUCUCUUAUUUCUACGCGCUCCCGUGUAGGGACGGCCCUUGUCUGUGGAAUGACUGAACCAGCAGACGGUAGCGGUAGGAUGGCUGUGGUUGAAACGGGCUGACCGGGCACGGUGUGCUAAUUUUCUUUUUCGCGAAUAAUUUUGGGAUGCUUUCCUUUAACGAUCUCCCUGCAUAUUUUGUCUACUGUGCGUGUGAACGAGUUUACAUUAUCCAGCAUGCUUUUUCAUUACUAUUUAUAGCUUUGUUACAGAAGACGGGAUUGAGCUGUCGGUUUACUAAAGAAGACUACUAGAUAUUGGAUAAUUAAACUCGGGCCAGGAUGUCUUCAAUACGGGAGGAUUAUAUGGCACCUUGGUGGACAUAUUGGCUACACAAUUUCCCUCAUGUCAACUUGAACUUUCAGCCCAUCGACAACACGUUCACCCCCCAGGAUCAGAACUACCAGCAGUCAUUAAUCUUCCUGGCCUGUAUGGUGGCUGCAGGGCUGGGCCUGAACCUGCUCUGCCUGGCCAUUUACCUGAGCUGCCUGUGCUGCUGUCGGAAAGACGACGAGGAGGAGGAGAGCAAGAGCCUCAACUCCUGCUGUGUCACCUGGUCCGCCGUCACCGCCGGACUCCUCAGCUGCGCUGCUGUGGGAGUGGGUUUCUAUGGCAACAGCGAGACCAACGAUGGGGUGUACCAGCUGACGUACUCCCUUUACAACACCAAUCAUACCCUGGGAGGGGUCGACAGCCUGGUGACGGGCACCAUGGGUAGCAUGGAGAGUGGUCUGAAGCAGCACCUGGCGAGGCUGGAUGAGAUCUUCGCUACGCGGGGAGACUACGUACAGACCCUACGCUUCAUGCAGCAGAUGGCUGACAACGUCAUCAAACAGCUGUUGGGCCUGCCUGACUGGGACAUGGCUAAAGUAGAUUUGGCCGCUAUCGCAGACCAGACCACAUACAUAGAGUACUACAGGUGGCUCACCUACCUGCUGCUACUGAUUCUAGAUCUGGUGAUCUGUCUGGCAGCUUGCCUGGGCCUAGCCAAACAGUCUCGCUGGCUGCUGACAACUAUGAUGGUGUUUGGGGUGCUGACAUUGAUCCUGAGCUGGGCGUCUCUGGGAGCUGACCUGGCCUCUGCUGUGAGCACCAGUGACUUCUGUGUGACCCCAGACAAGUUCAUCAUGAACCAGACCAAGGACCUAAUCAGUUCUGAGAUAGUGCAUUACUACCUGUACUGCAGCCAGGCCCUCCCCAACCCAUUCCAGCAGUCUCUGACCAUCUUCCAGAGGUCUCUGACCACCAUGCAGAUACAGAUACAGGGCCUGCUGCAGUUUGCUGUGCCUCUCUUCCCAACCGCCGAGAGAGACCUACUGGGCAUUCAGCACCUACUCAACUCAUCAGAGGCUAGCCUCCACCAGCUAACUGCCCUACUGGACUGUAGAGGACUCAACAAGGACUACCUGGAUGCCCUGAUCGGUGUGUGUUAUGACGGGGUAGAGGGCCUGCUCUACCUCUGCCUCUUCUCCAUCCUGGCAAUUUGUGCCUUCUGUGCCAUGCUGUGUGCCAUCCCCCGGGCAUGGACACAUAUCACCAGCAGGGAGCGUGAUUAUGACGAUAUAGACGAAGGUGACCCAUUUAACCCUCAGGCCAGACGCAUGACGACCCACGACUCCAACCAUGCCACCAACAUGCACCGCUUCUGCAGCUACAGCAGCAGUGUGGGCAGCCAGAGCAGCCUUCACCCGCCUGCCGCCCAGGCUGCCCAGACUGUGUCCAACGCACCCGUCUCAGAGUACAUGAACCAGUCAGCGUUGUUCGGGGGAAACCCGCGGUACGAGAACGUUCCUCUGAUCGGGAGAGGCUCUCCGCCCCCCUCGUGUCAACUCAGUUCCCCCAUAUGAUGCUCUACAUGAUGCCUUCCUUAACUUGCUCAAGUCAGUGUUACUUUUAAGUUGUUUAAAUGGUUGUUGUAGUUGGUUUCUCACGAGUUAUGACGUGACAGUCUUUCACAAGAUAUGACAUCCACAUGAUAACAUAUUUCCAGUUAGGAUUUUGAUCAUGAUCAUCAGUUUGAUCACAUAUCAAAUCAAAGUUUGAUUAGGGACGUAUCAGUAUCAGAGAGAACUCUGCUAACGUUGUGCCUUUACCUGUCUGUCUAACAUAGGUGUAGAUUGUGACUCUUUACAGAGGGAAUAGGACAGUGAGAGAGAAGUUUAACAUAGAUAUACUGUAGUGUACAUGUUCAUGCAUUUAAGAUGAGAUGGAAGCGUGUUAUUUAGACCAAUGCCCAGGGGAAGAUCUCACAGGUGUCAGUCCAUAGUUGGUAACUUUACUUCUCUCUAAAGGUCAGUCUCUUUCUCUCUCUCUCUCUCUCUCUCUCUCUCGCUCUCUCUCUCUGGUCCUCAUGAUAAAUGCACCUUGUAAUGGCAGCUAUUUAGAUCAAUUAUCCUAUCCUGUCUCCUGUCAAAGGCCUGCUGUGCCUAAUGGAAUUUCAUGAAGAGACAUAUCUUAUGCAUCGCAUAUAUUAUGGGUUUCUGAGCCUGUUUACAUCUACUGUAGCUGCCUGCCAUCCUUCCCAUGGGAAGAUGUAUUUGUAGUUGACUGAAUGUAAGGUUUAUUACCUUAGACUAAUGCUGAGUCCCAAAUGGCACCCAUAUGGCUCCUGUCAAAAGCAGUGGACUAUAUAGGGAAUAGGGUUCCAUUUGGGAUGCAUCAUUGAGUUUUAUACCGUAUUUACCUUGGUGUUUUCCCCCGCCCUAUCUCUCUACUACCAGUCUCUAGCCAAGAAGCUGUGAUGAUCUCACUGGUAAUGUCAUGUGGUGUCCUCUGGACAUACCUACCUUCUACGGGGCGUGGCACUCUACUUUUUCAGCUAACAGCUUCUUUUAUAUUGUUUAUUUGUUUGUUCGUUGUUUAUAUGUUUGUUUGUAUUUGAUUUCUUUCUUCUUUUUUUAAUCAACUUUUGGAGAUAUACACUCAGCAAUUUAGAAACGGAUACUCCCCCAGCAUGAGGGCUACAUACCUGUCCAUGACUGAGGACCAGAUCAGACACUUUGGGAAUGAUUUCCAGGCAUAGAGCUGCUCCUCCCUCCCUCCUCCUCUUUAAUCUCUGCCAUCUCCAAGAGGGUUCUCAAACUGGCAAACACACAUACACACACAACUACUCCAGCAGUGUGUGACUUUGUGGCUGCUACACGGACCCACUUCUCGUCCAACUCACUGGACUGGACCAAGGCCUGAUAUGAGGAAAGGUGUCACACACAGUUGUCCCAUCCCAAACCCCAGAGCCCAGUGUCUAUGUCUUAGUCACCUUGACUCUAGCCCAUAGAAUUAGAAUGAUUCUAUUAUGUGAUUCUAUUCAAUCUAUUUCAGUUCUCCCUUGCUGUCUCCAGAGAAUGCAGCAAUGUAAAGCCCUACUAUUCCACUUCCACAUUGCAUGUUGUGUCCACUGUCUGAAGGUGUAGUCAAAAUAAAUUCUGCCGAAGUUCUCUUGGAAAUAACACUGAACUUUUCUAAUAGCUUUAGAUUUAAAUAUUUUGGUUUGUCUGCAGCAUUUGUUUUAGGCAAAACCUUUGAAAAUGUAAGAUAGAGAAAUUAUAUAUAUUUUUUAUUUUCAUUUCAUUUGACCUAUAACAUCAUACUUACAACAUGUCCUUAGGCCACCAAUUCAGUAUGUGAGUCCUCAUAUUUCCCAUCUCUUUGUGUAGUAGUAGUGUUGAGAAAAAAAAAUGUUAAAAUGGAAAUUGUCAUAAUAAUGACUUCUUUUAAAAACGCUAGCUUGAUUCAUUCACUCUGACGAGACAAUAGCAACUUCUACAGGAAAUUGCUUUUAUAAUGAUCUAUUGUUCAGAUACUAAUGAUAUGAUUAGUCUAUUUUGAAAUUAAACUUAUUCUAAAACAUA